UUCUUUGGUUAUCUAGCUGUAUGGAUAUUUUGAACUUCAUAAAGCUACAUUACCGAAGGU
RNAcentral lists this microRNA precursor (60 nucleotides) under Pediculus humanus corporis (human body louse). Its description in RNAcentral is "mir-9/mir-79 microRNA precursor family". It matches the Rfam family "mir-9/mir-79 microRNA precursor family", at positions 1 to 62 of the family's 78-position model. From Rfam's summary of the family: The mature ~21nt miRNAs are processed from hairpin precursor sequences represented here. miR-9 is processed from the 5' arm of its precursor, and miR-79 from the 3' arm. The bounds of the precursors are predicted based on conservation and base pairing and are not generally known. Lineage: Eukaryota; Metazoa; Arthropoda; Insecta; Psocodea; Pediculidae. The record is from RNAcentral.